This 253-nucleotide ribosomal RNA is filed under the name uncultured bacterium. Its description in RNAcentral is "partial 16S ribosomal RNA". It matches the Rfam family "Bacterial small subunit ribosomal RNA", at positions 524 to 776 of the family's 1533-position model. The record is from RNAcentral.
UACGUAGGGUGCAAGCGUUAAUCGGAAUUACUGGGCGUAAAGCGUGCGCAGGCGGUUAUGCAAGACAGAUGUGAAAUCCCCGGGCUUAACCUGGGAACCGCAUUUGUGACUGCAUAGCUGGAGUACGGCAGAGGGGGGUGGAAUUCCGCGUGUAGCAGUGAAAUGCGUAGAUAUGCGGAGGAACACCGAUGGCGAAGGCAGUCCCCUGGGCCUGUACUGACGCUCAUGCACGAAAGCGUGGGGAGCAAACAGG